RNAcentral lists this ribosomal RNA (1236 nucleotides) under metagenome. RNAcentral's name for it is "bacterial SSU rRNA". It matches the Rfam family "Bacterial small subunit ribosomal RNA", at positions 252 to 1498 of the family's 1533-position model. The record is from RNAcentral.
GCGGGGUAACGGCCCACCAAGGCAACGAUCAGUAGGGGUUCUGAGAGGAAGGUCCCCCACAUUGGAACUGAGACACGGUCCAAACUCCUACGGGAGGCAGCAGUGAGGAAUAUUGGUCAAUGGGCGAGAGCCUGAACCAGCCAAGUAGCGUGCAGGAAGACGGCCCUAUGGGUUGUAAACUGCUUUUAUAAGGGAAUAAAGUUAGUCUCGUGAGACUUUUUGCAUGUACCUUAUGAAUAAGGACCGGCUAAUUCCGUGCCAGCAGCCGCGGUAAUACGGAAGGUCCGGGCGUUAUCCGGAUUUAUUGGGUUUAAAGGGAGCGUAGGCCGGAGAUUAAGCGUGUUGUGAAAUGUAGACGCUCAACGUCUGCACUGCAGCGCGAACUGGUUUCCUUGAGUACGCACAAAGUGGGCGGAAUUCGUGGUGUAGCGGUGAAAUGCUUAGAUAUCACGAAGAACUCCGAUUGCGAAGGCAGCUCACUGGAGCGCAACUGACGCUGAAGCUCGAAAGUGCGGGUAUCGAACAGGAUUAGAUACCCUGGUAGUCCGCACGGUAAACGAUGGAUGCCCGCUGUUGGUCUGAACAGGUCAGCGGCCAAGCGAAAGCAUUAAGCAUCCCACCUGGGGAGUACGCCGGCAACGGUGAAACUCAAAGGAAUUGACGGGGGCCCGCACAAGCGGAGGAACAUGUGGUUUAAUUCGAUGAUACGCGAGGAACCUUACCCGGGCUUGAAUUGCAGAGGAAGGAUUUGGAGACAAUGACGCCCUUCGGGGUCUCUGUGAAGGUGCUGCAUGGUUGUCGUCAGCUCGUGCCGUGAGGUGUCGGCUUAAGUGCCAUAACGAGCGCAACCCCUCUCCUUAGUUGCCAUCAGGUUAAGCUGGGCACUCUGGGGACACUGCCACCGUAAGGUGUGAGGAAGGUGGGGAUGACGUCAAAUCAGCACGGCCCUUACGUCCGGGGCUACACACGUGUUACAAUGGCAGGUACAGAGAGACGGUUGUACGUAAGUACGAUCAAAUCCUUAAAGCCUGUCUCAGUUCGGACUGGGGUCUGCAACCCGACCCCACGAAGCUGGAUUCGCUAGUAAUCGCGCAUCAGCCAUGGCGCGGUGAAUACGUUCCCGGGCCUUGUACACACCGCCCGUCAAGCCAUGAAAGCCGGGGGCGCCUAAAGUCCGUGACCGUAAGGAGCGGCCUAGGGCGAAACUGGUAAUUGGGGCUAAGUCGUAACAAGGUA